CUUUCUACAGGCUUAACACAUGCAAGUCGAGGGGCAGCAUGGUCUUAGCUUGCUAAGGCCGAUGGCGACCGGCGCACGGGUGAGUAACGCGUAUCCAACCUGCCUUACACUCUUGGACAGCCUUCUGAAAGGGAGAUUAAUACAAGAUGUUAUCAUGAGUAAGCAUUUUCGCAUGAUUAAAGGUUUACCGGUGUAAGAUGGGGAUGCGUUCCAUUAGAUAGUAGGCGGGGUAACGGCCCACCUAGUCUUCGAUGGAUAGGGGUUCUGAGAGGAAGGUCCCCCACAUUGGAACUGAGACACGGUCCAAACUCCUACGGGAGGCAGCAGUGAGGAAUAUUGGUCAAUGGACGAGAGUCUGAACCAGCCAAGUAGCGUGAAGGAUGAAGGUUCUAUGGAUUGUAAACUUCUUUUAUACGGGAAUAAACGGAUCCACGUGUGGAUUUUUGCAUGUACCGUAUGAAUAAGGAUCGGCUAACUCCGUGCCAGCAGCCGCGGUAAUACGGAGGAUCCGAGCGUUAUCCGGAUUUAUUGGGUUUAAAGGGAGCGUAGAUGGGUUGUUAAGUCAGUUGUGAAAGUUUGCGGCUCAACCGUAAAAUUGCAAUUGAUACUGGCAGUCUUGAGUACAGUUGAGGUAGGCGGAAUUCGUGGUGUAGCGGUGAAAUGCUUAGAUAUCACGAAGAACUCCGAUUGCGAAGGCAGCUUACUAACCUGUAACUGACAUUGAUGCUCGAAAGUGUGGGUAUCAAACAGGAUUAGAUACCCUGGUAGUCCACACGGUAAACGAUGAAUACUCGCUGUAGGCGAUAUACAGUCUGCGGCCAAGCGAAAGCAUUAAGUAUUCCACCUGGGGAGUACGCCGGCAACGGUGAAACUCAAAGGAAUUGACGGGGGCCCGCACAAGCGGAGGAACAUGUGGUUUAAUUCGAUGAUACGCGAGGAACCUUACCCGGGCUUAAAUUGCAACCGAAUAUGGCGGAAACGCUAUGGCUAGCAAUAGCGGUUGUGAAGGUGCUGCAUGGUUGUCGUCAGCUCGUGCCGUGAGGUGUCGGCUUAAGUGCCAUAACGAGCGCAACCCUUGCCGAUAGUUACUAACAGGUCAUGCUGAGGACUCUGUCGGGACUGCCAUCGUAAGAUGUGAGGAAGGUGGGGAUGACGUCAAAUCAGCACGGCCCUUACGUCCGGGGCUACACACGUGUUACAAUGGGGGGUACAGAGGGCUGCUACCACGCAAGUGGAUGCCAAUCCCAAAAACCUCUCUCAGUUCGGAUUGAAGUCUGCAACCCGACUUCAUGAAGCUGGAUUCGCUAGUAAUCGCGCAUCAGCCACGGCGCGGUGAAUACGUUCCCGGGCCUUGUACACACCGCCCGUCAAGCCAUGGGAGCCGGGGGUACCUGAAGUGCGUAACCGCAAGGAGCGCCCUAGGGUAAAACUGGUGACUGGGGCUA
This 1445-nucleotide ribosomal RNA is filed under the name uncultured organism. RNAcentral describes it as "SSU rRNA". It matches the Rfam family "Bacterial small subunit ribosomal RNA". The record is from RNAcentral.